AUCCAGCUGUCCCAAAUAUGACGAAACGUGCGUCCUGGAU
Schistosoma mansoni is the source of this 40-nucleotide non-coding RNA. The record is from Rfam. NCBI's taxonomy places the organism in Eukaryota, Metazoa, Platyhelminthes, Trematoda, Strigeidida, Schistosomatidae.